GAGCCACCCAGGCACCCCUGGAAAUGUUUUUUAAAAGGCAUGCAGAAAAGUUGAAAAGUUUGCUGUUCUGAAUGUCCACGUGCUCGCCAGUAUGGAUGGAUAGAUGUGAGAGAGCCAGUAGAGCAAAAUGUUGACAACUGGGUCAUAUGUUAGCAGGAAGAUUCUCAGGUCAGCUUUGGCUCUGCACCGUGAUCAUUUACAGUAGAAACCAAAGCCCCUUCUGGGGACAUGCUUCUUUCAGAACGUGAGUGAUGGUGGAAUCAGGCAGUGCUUAGAAGUGGCACGGCGGCCUACAGUCACAUUUCAUCG
Prionailurus viverrinus (fishing cat) is the source of this 309-nucleotide long non-coding RNA. RefSeq lists it as uncharacterized. The transcript is spliced from 3 exons. Lineage: Eukaryota; Metazoa; Chordata; Mammalia; Carnivora; Felidae. The record is from RefSeq and is a predicted model, not a curated record.